AAUCAACGCUGGCGGCGUGCCUAACACAUGCAAGUCGAACGCGAAAGCCCCGCAAGGGGCAAGUAGAGUGGCAAACGGGUGAGUAACACGUGGGUGACCUGCCUUCGAGUGGGGGAGUAACGUCCCGAAAGGGACGCUAAUACCGCAUGACAUCCUGCCUUUGGACAGGCGGAGAUCAAAGCUGGGGAUCGCAAGACCUGGCGCUUGGAAGAGGGGCCCGCGCCUGAUUAGCAGUUGGUGAGGUAACGGCUCACCAAGGCGACGAUCAGUAUCCGGCCUGAGAGGGCGGACGGACACACUGGGACUGAGACACGGCCCAGACUCCUACGGGAGGCAGCAGUGGGGAAUUGUUCGCAAUGGGCGCAAGCCUGACGACGCAACGCCGCGUGGAGGAUGAAGAUCUUCGGGUCGUAAACUCCUGUCGAGC
Molecule: ribosomal RNA, 427 nt
Filed under: uncultured bacterium
Lineage: Bacteria
Description: bacterial SSU rRNA
Rfam family: Bacterial small subunit ribosomal RNA
Source: RNAcentral